GUUAAUAUGAAUUGCAAAUAUUCGUGCAUCAUCGAAUCUUCUGAACGCACAUAUGCGCACCUCUGGUAUUCCGGAGGGCAUGCCUGUUUGAGCGUCGUU
This 99-nucleotide ribosomal RNA is filed under the name uncultured soil eukaryote. RNAcentral describes it as "partial 5.8S ribosomal RNA". It matches the Rfam family "5.8S ribosomal RNA", at positions 58 to 154 of the family's 154-position model. From Rfam's summary of the family: 5.8S ribosomal RNA (5.8S rRNA) is a component of the large subunit of the eukaryotic ribosome. It is transcribed by RNA polymerase I as part of the 45S precursor that also contains 18S and 28S rRNA. The record is from RNAcentral.